RNAcentral lists this ribosomal RNA (492 nucleotides) under uncultured bacterium. RNAcentral's name for it is "partial 16S ribosomal RNA". It matches the Rfam family "Bacterial small subunit ribosomal RNA", at positions 29 to 507 of the family's 1533-position model. The record is from RNAcentral.
AGUGAACGCUGGCGGUAGGCCUAACACAUGCAAGUCGAACGGCGGCACAGUAAGAGCUUGCUCUUACGGGUGGCGAGUGGCGGACGGGUGAGGAAUACAUCGGAAUCUACUUUUUCGUGGGGGAUAACGUAGGGAAACUUACGCUAAUACCGCAUACGACCUACGGGUGAAAGCAGGGGAUCUUCGGGCCUUGCGCGAUUGAAUGAGCCGAUGUCGGAUUAGCUAGUUGGCGGGGUAAAGGCCCACCAAGGCGACGAUCCGUAGCUGGUCUGAGAGGAUGAUCAGCCACACUGGAACUGAGACACGGUCCAGACUCCUACGGGAGGCAGCAGUGGGGAAUAUUGGACAAUGGGCGCAAGCCUGAUCCAGCCAUACCGCGUGGGUGAAGAAGGCCUUCGGGUUGUAAAGCCCUUUUGUUGGGAAAGAAAAGCAGCAGGUUAAUACCCCGCUGUUCUGACGGUACCCAAAGAAUAAGCACCGGCUAACUUCGUG